UCGACGGGGAGGUUUGGCACCUCGAUGUCGGCUCAUCACAUCCUGGGGCUGUAGUAGGUCCCAAGGGUUGGGCUGUUCGCCCAUUAAAGUGGUACGCGAGCUGGGUUCAGAACGUCGUGAGACAGUUCGGUCCCUAUCCGUCGCAGGCGUAGGAAAUUUGAGAAGACCUGUCCUUAGUACGAGAGGACCGGGAUGGACGUACCUCUGGUGUACCAGUUGUUCUGCCAAGGGCAUGGCUGGGUAGCUAUGUACGGAAUGGAUAAGCGCUGAAAGCAUCUAAGCGCGAAGCCAACUUCAAGAUAAGAUUUCCCACCGCAAGGGUAAGACCCCAGAAAGACUAUCUGGUUGAUAGGUCGAAGGUGUAAGUGCAGCAAUGUAUUUAGCUUAUCGAUACUAAUAGGUCGAGGACUUGACCAAU
RNAcentral lists this ribosomal RNA (418 nucleotides) under Clostridioides difficile. RNAcentral describes it as "partial 23S ribosomal RNA". It matches the Rfam family "Bacterial large subunit ribosomal RNA", at positions 2505 to 2925 of the family's 2925-position model. The record is from RNAcentral. Lineage: Bacteria; Bacillati; Bacillota; Clostridia; Peptostreptococcales; Peptostreptococcaceae.